Molecule: long non-coding RNA, 519 nt
Organism: Herpailurus yagouaroundi (jaguarundi)
Lineage: Eukaryota; Metazoa; Chordata; Mammalia; Carnivora; Felidae
Exons: 2
Source: RefSeq, a predicted model, not a curated record
GAAAUGAUUGGCAGACUAUUUCAAUAGUCUGGUAGAGCAGUGGUAAGAAAAGUUUACCCAAGACACUGCUAUUACAAAGUGUGACUUAAGGAGAAGAAAGUGACAGUUUUGCUGAUUUAUUCAGCACAUAUAUAAUUGCUCACCCACUGCACAGAAAGCGCUCUAACAGGUACUGGAGACAGACAGAUAGACAAGAAAGGUGAAACUCAACCUCAUGAAACUCACGAGCUAUCAGAGAAGACGUAUCCUAAACAAAUAAGCAAAUGCACAGAUGAAACAAUUUCACGCAGUGUGUUUGAAUAUUGAGCUGCAAGUCAAGCAAUGUGAUAUUCAGACUGAUUAAUGACUUGGAGAUUUCAUCUAUUGCGUUUCCAUGUCCCUGAACUGAGGAAACCAAGGUGCUCAGCUGGAGAAGAACAUCAUUGAAUCUUUGAUCAGUCACCAGACUAAAAUUUUGGAAAUGCUCUGAAUCUAUGAGAUUGGCUUCUGUAUCUGAAAUAAAUUGGAUUCUCUUCUCCA